Molecule: ribosomal RNA, 447 nt
Filed under: uncultured bacterium
Lineage: Bacteria
Description: bacterial SSU rRNA
Rfam family: Bacterial small subunit ribosomal RNA
Source: RNAcentral
UCGGGAAUUUUGGGCAAUGGGGGAAACCCUGACCCAGCAACGCCGCGUGAAGGAUGAAGUAUUUCGGUAUGUAAACUUCGAAAGAAUAGGAAGAAUAAAUGACGGUACUAUUUAUAAGGUCCGGCUAACUACGUGCCAGCAGCCGCGGUAAUACGUAGGGACCAAGCGUUGUUCGGAUUUACUGGGCGUAAAGGGCGCGUAGGCGGCAUGACAAGUCACUUGUGAAAUCUCUGGGCUUAACCCAGAACGGCCAAGUGAUACUGUCGCGCUAGAGUGCAGAAGGGGCAAUCGGAAUUCUUGGUGUAGCGGUGAAAUGCGUAGAUAUCAAGAGGAACACCUGAGGUGAAGACGGGUUGCUGGGCUGACACUGACGCUGAGGCGCGAAAGCCAGGGGAGCAAACGGGAUUAGAUACCCCAGCAGUCCCUGAGCGGGCUGGCAAGGCGCAU